RNAcentral lists this ribosomal RNA (270 nucleotides) under uncultured archaeon. RNAcentral's name for it is "partial 16S ribosomal RNA". It matches the Rfam family "Archaeal small subunit ribosomal RNA", at positions 477 to 747 of the family's 1478-position model. The record is from RNAcentral.
CAGCUCUCCGAGUGGUAGGGAUGAUUAUUGGGCUUAAAGCGUCCGUAGCCGGCUUAGCAAGUUUCCUGUUAAACCCAGCGACUCAAUCGUUGGAUCGCGGGAAAUACUACUAGGCUAGGAGGCGGGAGAGGUUAACGGUACUUCUGGGGUAGGGGUGAAAUCCUAUAAUCCCGGGAGGACCACCAGUGGCGAAGGCUGUUGACUAGAACGCGCUCGACGGUGAGGGACGAAAGCUGGGGGAGCGAACCGGAUUAGAUACCCGAGUAGUCC